AUGGGGUGCGGGCAGUCCAAGGAGGACGCGGACGGCGCCGUGGAGCGGUGCCGGGAGCGGAAGAACCUGCUGCGGGCGGCCGUCGAGGCGCGGCACGCGCUCUCGGGGGCGCACGCGGGCCACGCGGCCGCGCUCCGGAACGUCGGCGCCGCGCUCUCCGACUACGCCAGCGGCGAGGCGCACGAGGGCGCGCUGCGCCACUCCGCCUCGGCCGCCGCGGUCCUGUCCUCCGCCGGGGGCUCCGGCGCCGAGGCGGCCGCGCUCGCGCUCCCGCCGCCCCCGCCCCCGCCGGGCCCGCCCGAGGACGCCCCAUCGCUCGUCAGGUCCAUGAGCGCGCCCGACCUGCCGCUCCCGCCGGCGAUCAAGAAGAAGCCCUCCGGCGAGGCGCCCAUCAUGGAGGAGGAGGACGAAGGCGAGGACGCGCGGCCUCCGGAGCCGGAGGACGACGGCCAGCUCCAGCCCCCGCCACCGCCGCCACCGCCUCCGACGCAGCUGCCCGCUCCCACGCGUCCCCCGCCCUCCCUGCCGCCGGACACGAGGCGCAAGGGGGAUUCCUGGAGCGAGAUCAUUUUCGGGUCCCCGGACGGCAUAACCGUCCCGCCACCCACUCUGGCACCCAGCGCAGCCGCCGCCGCCUCGUGGGCAGCCGAGCGGGCGGAGGCCCCCGCGCCGCCGCCGCCUCCCCCCGAGCCAGAGGAACAGCCUCUGCGUCCACCGCCAGCGCCGCCCGCGGCCGCCGAGGACGUGGCCAAGGGCAAGAAGCCGAUGGUCGAAGCCGGGGCGCGGAGGGCGGUGACACAGAAGGCCGCGAGGAGGCCGGAGGGCAAGAAAGGCAGGACGGUGGUGAUGGCAGCGCCGGCGGCGGCGAGGCUCGGCGACAUCCUUCGCGACCUCGACGAUCAUUUCCUCAAGGCAUCGGACAGCGCACACGAGGUGUCCAAGAUGCUGGAGGCGGCGCGGAUGCACUACCACUCCAACUUCGCCGAAACGAGAGGAUUUGUGGAUCAUUCUGCUAGAGUGAUGCAAGUUAUCACUUGGAACCGCUCAUUUAAAGGGAUACCACAACCGGAACAGGUGAAGAAUGAGUUAGACGACGCCGAAGGCGAAACACACGCUACCGUUCUCGAGAAGCUGCUUGCAUGGGAGAAAAAACUAUCCCAUGAAGUGAAGGAGUUUGAGGUUAUCAAAAUGGAAUAUCAACAAAAGCUAGCUUCUCUGAACAAGAAGAAGCAGCGUGGGGUCAGUUCUUCAUCAUUUGAGAGGACUAAAUCUGCUGCUAGUCACUUGCAUACAAGAUAUGUUGUGGAUUUGCAAACAAUGGAGUCCACGAUUUCAGAGAUUAAUCGUCUGAGAGAUCAACAACUAUACCCAAAACUUCUUGAACUUGUGAAGGGGAUGGGGCACAUGUGGGACGCAAUGUACAAGCACCACAAAGCACAGCUCAAGAUCAUCUCCGAGCUCAAAUCGUUCGACAUCUCGGUUGCGGCACGGGAAACAAGCGAACAGCACAACGAAAGGACUGUGCAGCUAUGGCAGGUCGUUCAGGAGUGGCACGUGCAGUACAGCAAGUUCAUGGCGUCUCAGAAGGAGUACGUCGGAAACCUCUACAGCUGGAUCAAGCUGAAUGUGAUCCCCAUUGACACCAACCUGAAGGCCAACUCGUCGCAGCCAGUCGAGACGACGCCUCCCAUCAAGAGGCUUCUGCAUGCUUGGCACGAUAUGCUCGGGAAGCUCCCCGACGAGGAUGCUAGGAAGGCCAUACACACAUUUUCGGAGGUGGUACACAUAAUCCUGGUGCACCAAGACGAGGAGAUAAAGCUGAGGCAAAGGAUUCAGGACACGAGGAAGGAGCAUGAGAGGAAGAGCAGGCAGUUCGAGGAUUGGGCGCGGAAGUACAUGGAGAAGAGAGCAGGGAUUCCUCCCGAGGCCGGCAAUCCCGACGGGACGCGCGCCGACCCGCUCGCGGAACGGAAGGCGGCCAUGGAGAAGCUGGAGAAUUCACUGAAAGAACUGGAGGAGGCAUACACGAAGCAAUGCAAGGUGGUGAGGGAGAAAUCCCUGAGCCUCCUACGGACAAACCUGCCGGAGCUGUUCCGCAUCGUGUCGGAAUUCUCCCUCCAGUCGGCGGCGAUGUUCAAGGAUCUGUGGUCGAUCUCGAACACGAAUGACCAGCUGGAUGAUUGA
This 2184-nucleotide ribosomal RNA is filed under the name Triticum aestivum (bread wheat). RNAcentral describes it as "partial small subunit ribosomal RNA". The record is from RNAcentral. Lineage: Eukaryota; Viridiplantae; Streptophyta; Magnoliopsida; Poales; Poaceae.